RNAcentral lists this small RNA (27 nucleotides) under Bombyx mori (domestic silkworm). RNAcentral describes it as "ovarian small RNA-8544". Lineage: Eukaryota; Metazoa; Arthropoda; Insecta; Lepidoptera; Bombycidae. The record is from RNAcentral.
UGCCAUGGUAUCUACACAAGUCGCAUC